CGCGCGCAGGCGGCCUUUUAAGUUGGAUGUGAAAGCCUAUGGCUCAACCAUAGAACUGCAUCCAAAACUAUCAGGCUAGAGUGUGGGAGAGGAAGAUGGAAUUAGUUGUGUAGGGGUAAAAUCCGUAGAGAUAACUGGGAAUACCAAAAGCGAAGGCAAUCUUCUGGAACAUUACUGACGCUGAGGCGCGAAAGCGUGGGGAGCAAACAGGUUUAGAUACCCUGGUAGUCCACGCCCUAAACGAUGAAUGGCAGUCGUCGGGUAGCUAGUCUAUUCGGUGAUGCAGCUAACGCAUUAAACAUUCCGCCUGGGGAGUACGGUCGCAAGAUUAAAACUCAAAGGAAUAGACGGGGACCCGCACAAGUGGUGGAGCAUGUGGUUUAAUUCGAAGAUACGCGAAGAACCUUACCUAGCCUUGACAUAUUUUAGAACACUUUAGAGAUAGAGUGGUGCCUUCGGGAGCUAAUAUACAGGUGCUGCACGGCUGUCGUCAGCUCGUGUCGUGAGAUGUUGGGUUAAGUCCCGCAACGAGCGCAACCCUCGUCACUAGUUACUAACGGUUCGGCCGAGGACUCUAGUGAGACUGCCUUCGCAAGGAGGAGGAAGGUGAGGACAACGUCAAGUCAUCAUGGCUCUUACGGCUAGGGCAACACACGUGCUACAAUGGCCUGGACAAUGAGAAGCGAUACCGCGAGGUGGAGCAAAUCUAUAAACCUGGUCUCAGUUCGGAUUGUAGUCUGCAACUCGACUACAUGAAG
Molecule: ribosomal RNA, 758 nt
Filed under: uncultured bacterium
Lineage: Bacteria
Description: bacterial SSU rRNA
Rfam family: Bacterial small subunit ribosomal RNA
Source: RNAcentral